CGCGCGCUGUGCAUUGUGGGUGGCGAGCGGCAGAUUUUGAUUCCCGCUCACGGCCACCGUCAUUGUCGAGCGAAAACUUCUGAAGCGGCGGCUCGCUGGGCCUCCUCUACGUCGACUCAGCCUGAAGGCGGGUGUCUCAGAUUGCCAGCACCAUGUGAUGAGGGCUCCAGGGCAUGCUGCGUGCUCGCCAGGAGGGGCUGGGCAAGAUGGCGUAGUCGCUGGAGCAGCUGCGGGCGCGGCACCGCCGCUCUCACCCUGGCGGAGUGCAGCAACACAGUGGGGCGGCACCAGCGGGACACUCUGGACAACGCAGCCAAGGCUGUUGCCCCGCUCGCCCGAUUCGUUGAGAGGCUUGCCCACCCCCCAGGGCGUUGUCGUGAAGAUACCGCUGGGAGGAAGAAUAUAUCACAAUACUGGAAGAGCUCUUCCACCAGGGUCUCCUCCUCCUGCACCACCAGCUCCUCCACCAGGGUCUCCUCCUCCUGCACCACCAGCUCCUCCACCAGGGUCUCCUCCUCCUGCACCAGCAGCUC
Molecule: long non-coding RNA, 533 nt
Organism: Lethenteron reissneri (Far Eastern brook lamprey)
Lineage: Eukaryota; Metazoa; Chordata; Hyperoartia; Petromyzontiformes; Petromyzontidae
Source: RefSeq, a predicted model, not a curated record